RNAcentral lists this long non-coding RNA (5545 nucleotides) under Sus scrofa (pig). RNAcentral's name for it is "lncRNA (ENSSSCG00000060967.1)". The record is from RNAcentral. Lineage: Eukaryota; Metazoa; Chordata; Mammalia; Artiodactyla; Suidae.
GAGCCGCGCGGGGGAGAAUGGGGGUGGUGAGGAAGGGGCCCAGCCACCUUCUGCCCUUCCCCCUCCCAAGUCUCUCUUCUGCAGGAGGCAGAGACCGCUCAGAUAUGUCCCAGUACUCGGAGACUGGGAGGGUGCAGGAGCUCUCCCCUUGCCUCCUUGGUGCCUCUAGCCUGGCUCUCUUACUGACCUUUGCGCCUGGAGGGGUGGGCCGGCCACUGCGCAGCCCUGGGCUGCCUACCUGGGAAUCAGUUGGUAUGGAUACCCCCCUACCCGGGCAGCUCAACAGGAUUGUCCCUUAGGGCUGGGAGACUGUGACUGUACCCGGGGUGAGUUCUGCGCGUGAGACACUGUGCUCCCGGCGGUCCAUUCAUCCAGGCGAUGGUGCUUCUGAAAGGGCUAGAAACACCAUUCCUCUUCCUUACCGCCGACAAGAGUGCAUUUUCCAGCCAAUAUUUGGUCUUACUUCGGACAUAAAAGAAGCUAGUGGGAGCUAUUUUGCAAACAGGAUUUUCUAGCUGUCUGCCUGAUUAAGCAGCUUGUUCGAGUCCUGUAAUUUGGUGCUGCCAAAACUACCCUGACAUUUCUCUUCUGCUCAGUUUUUGGGGAAAACACUAACUGGCAAACUUAAAUGGCUUUGAAUUUGGUUCUAGUCAGUGGAUCUCACAUACCACACAACCGGACAGGCAGAUUGGUUUCCUUUUUAUUUUCUUAGAAUGUGGUUUCCAUAUCUGUGCAAUGGGGGAACUGCCUGGGAGUUUAUUACAUAUGCUAUUUCCUAAUUGUUUUGUAGAAAAAUAUGUCUUAACCAGAGGGGAGGCUGUCAGGAGAAACAGUAGCAGAGAAAAUAUAUACCACAGAUACUUGGAUUAAUUUCCGUGAAUUAAUGUACUUAACACUAGGAAUGGAAUUGGCUUUGGGAUGAGCAUGACUACCCUCCGCCGUGUGGUGUUAGGUUCUUAGCCUCCUACUCAUUUUUAAGCACUAGAGGUGUCCAUUUAGCCACAGUGCAAAGCAAUCUUUUUACAUAAAUAAAAUGCUAAUGUUCUUUCUUACGCAAUUAAUGUGAAUGAGGGACUUAUUGAUGACAGUAAAAAUAGUGCAUCCAAAAAUAUCUCCAAGGGCAAUAUUAAGCUAUAAAAUGUCAUCCUUAAAUUAUCUUUUUUUUUUUUUUUUGUCUUUUGUCUUUUUUGUUGUUGUUGUUGCUAUUUCUUGGGCCGCUCCCGCGGCAUAUGGAGGUUCCCAGGCUAGGGGUUGAAUCGGAGCUGUAGCCACCGGCCUACGCCAGAGCCACAGCAACGCGGGAUCCGAGCUGCGUCUGCAACCUACACCACAGCUCACGGCAACGCCGGAUCGUUAACCCACUGAGCAAGGGCAGGGACCGAACCCGCAACCUCAUGGUUCCUAGUCGGAUUCGUUAACCACUGUGCCACGACGGGAACUCCCUAUCUUUUAAUUUUUUAUAGUGUUGCAGAUGCCUGUUUUAUUCACUUCAGCAGCAGCAACUGACUCCCGGAGCAGGAACUGUCUGCUAGUGGCUUGAAAUAAUUAAUUUUCUCCCUAAAUAUUUAAUUUAACCUGCCAGUGAAAUGCUAGGGGUGUAUGUUAUCCACUAAAGUAGAAUACGAGUACACUUCCUUGUCACACAGAUUUGUUCAUAUAACAGAAUAUUGAGAUAGUAAAUUUGAAACAAUAUAUGUUUAGCCUAGUUAGACAGUGCUACUCUGGUGUGUCUGAGAAGUACUAUGAAAAAUUAUUUUUAAUUGAAACCGGUAAAAUUCCAUUUUAUCUGAAUGAAAGAGGCAUUCUAUUCCAUAAUACCCCUGUCUUGUCCAAAGGAUAUUUAAUAAUAAAACUUUUAUUGGUCUGCAUAUAUUAAAUUUUACAAAGUGGUUAGUCUCAUGUUGAGUGUAAUUUUGGUUUCCGUCCAAGCAUCAUUCACUCUGGGCAACUAUCUUGGAGAUGUGCUAUUUUCAUUGUAGGCAGAGAUGGGGUGGGCAGCUGAGAUAACAGAAAGCUAAAUUAUGUUUACAUGUUUGUUCUCUUCCCCCUCCCGCCAGCUAACAUUCCCUUUCUUCUUCUUCACUAUGAAGCUUUUUGAAAGUGCUAUUUUGUGUUCUUGUACUUUGUUUUUGCUUUCUGUCUCUAUUUCUUAACCUCCCACCAACUCCCUCUUCCAACACUCCUGCCUGGCUUCCAUUUUAGACCCUCCAACAAAACUCUUGCUAAGGCCGUGAGUAAUGUCUAAGUGGAAAACUCCUCUAUGUUUGGUAUUGUCCAUUUUCCAAACUUUUCUGGUUUUCCUCUUUCUUUUCAAUUCAAGUCCUACUUCAUCAGAAAGCCUUCUUCCUGUGCUUCCUCAGCUGUAUUAAAUCUCCACAAUUAUAUGUUCAUGGGCCACUUGAUUAAGGUCUGCUUUCUCCACCAGACUUAAAGUUCCAUGAGAACAGGGAGUGUGUGGUGCUCACUCCUGAUACCUAGUGAUUAUGGCCCAGAGCAAGAGCAAUAGCAAUAUUCUGGAAUAGUUGUGACCUCUAAAGAAUGCUAACAUGGUAGAAAAAGGCUUUCCAGGCAUGUUGAAGGAGGGAAAACAACGUAAUCUGAAUUUUCCCUGAUUCAUAGGAGACAACUUGUUCAUCUUUUUGAAUUAAGGCCAUGCUCAGGGUAAAUUCAGAUGUGGAUGGUGAGAUAGGAAAUCAGUUCUGGAAAUCCUUAUAUAUGAGAGCAAAUCAUCACCUUAUUAUUAGUUUUUUUUCCCCUGAAAUAAUAAUGGUAAAAAUGGUUAAUAAUACAGAAUGUAGCCAGGCUCAUUCUCAUCGUAAUUUCUUUUUCCACAGAGCCAAAUUUUUAAGCAACACCAAACUGACAUAUGGAAAAUCCUCAGGUUAUAGCAAUGUGUAUUUUCCUCAGGCUGGACUAAAAACUAGUGAGACGUUCCCAUUUCAACCGACCCAUGGAUGACAAUGGAGAGGGCUUCACGUGAAUGUUGCUUCUCUGAUUGACCUGUUGGUUUUGAAAUAUUCAGAAUAACUGCAAGGAUGUUUUAAUUAUGAUAUUCAGAAUAUUCUAAGGUGAUGAAUUUAUUUAUUUAUUUUUGACUUUUAAGGAUACUUCCAGUACAUUCACUAAGCUUGAACGAGGUUUAUUAGACAUUUUCUAUUAGAGAUUCCAAAGGAAAUCAACUUAGUCAUUUGUUAAAGAUGAAUUUAUAAUUGGCAUAUCAAAACAAUUUUUGUUUUAUAUUUUCAAAAUUGUAAUUGGAGUAUAGUUGAUUUACAACAUUGUAUUAAUUUUUGGUGUAUAGCAAAGUAAUUCAGAGCUAUCUAUCUAUCUCUCAUCUACCUAUCUUCUUUUCCAUCAUGGUUACUGCAGGAUAUUGAAUAUAGUUCCCUGUGCUAUACAGUAGGACUUUAUCAAUUUUAUAUAUAGUAGUGUGUAUCUGUUAACCCCAAAUUCCUAACUCAUGCCCCCCUUUCCCCUUUCAUAACCUUAAGUUUGUUUUCUAUGUCUGUGAGUCUCUUUCUGUUUUGUAAGUUCAUUUAGAUUCCACAUAUAAAUGACAUCAUAGGGUUUUGGUCUUUUUCUCUCUGACUUACUUAGUGUGACAAUAUCUAGGUCCAUUCUUGUUGCUGCAAAUGGCAGUAUUUCAUGAUUUUUUUAUGGCUGAAUAGUACCUCAUUGUGUCCUUUGACCCUGUAGCAGGGAUGGCAAAGAAGCUCCUCCAUGGGCCCAGGUAUUGACCUUGGUGGGCUGUGAUGCAGCAGGCAUGUUGAAGCCAGGAGUGGGUUCUGGGGUGGUGGUACACUCUGGGUUGAUCUUUAAUUUUGUAUACAGACCCUCUGUUUCAACCACUAACCAUCCAGUGCCUCAUUCUAUUCUGGAGGAUAUAUAGGGAGGAAAUUAGGAUGUUUUAGGGAGAAGGCAAAGAGAGAGGAAAGGGAGAGAGAGAUGCAUAAUUUUAGGGGAAGACACAACAGAAGUAGAGAAGACUCAUGGAGAGAGAAAGAAUAAAGGCAUCAGGACAAACAAUCCAGAGUGAGACUUGAAUUAAAUGACAUAUGGAAACUUCCUGGCAUCUAGGCAUCCAGGACUCCCAACAUUUUGGCUUCCUUGCUCAUUCCUUCCAUUUGGGAGCAAGAAGUGGUGUUCCAUUUAUGUAUGUUUGCUGGGACCAACAUGUAAUGAGUCCAAUAAAAUGAUUUUUUUGAAUUUUUGAAACCAAAGUAUAAUUGAUUUGCAAUAUUACGUUACAGAUGCAUGACAUACUGAUUUCAAUAAGAUUUUUAAAAAUACAAUCAUUCCAAGGUUUAUGUUCAGCUGUCAUAGUUCACAUAAUUAUGUGGUAUUUUAUGUACAGAUUUCUCUAGGCGUGGCUUUCUUCUCUAUAUAAAAUGCAGAAGGAUAAAUGUGGUUUAUAUUUUGAAGAUUGUGUCUCUUUUCCUCUUUAGGACUUCUUGAAACAAAAGUCAGAAAAGAGAUAGUGUAUGAAGUUUACCAAGUUUUGACCAUACCCAUUUCAUAUAUUUGAACACACUGACGUUGCAAUAUGGCAAUUAAAAUAGUUGUUUUCGAGUCUAAAAAGUUAUAUUUUUGAGUUAUGAGGGAAAAUUGUUAAAGUAGUCCAGAUGAAUUUAGCAUUUUAAAAAGUCUAGAUUGCUUUUGCCUAAGUUGCAAAAGGUAAAAUUUUAAUAAUACAAAGCAGCUGCCUUGCAAGUGGCGUGCACCAUACCAGCUUCUGUCCUUACUGUUGUACAAUGGGUUUAUUUUUAGUAACAUAACAUGUUUAUUAUUCAUUUAAAGUGAUUGUAAAAGCAAAUCUUGAAUAGAUACUUGGAGCAUGCAUAUAAAUUCUCUACGAGUUUUUGUUCUGUGCACAUUGUCUUGAGUAAUGCUUUUUAUUGGUGUAUUUGUUCUUAAGACAUUUACGGUGUUCAAUACCAUUACUUUCACUUGUGUGCCUUAUAAUGUCAGAUGCUCUGAAUUAAAACUGUGGUUGGUAAUUACAUAGUUCUUUGAAUUUGUAAGCUAAGUUUGCAAACUGUGGUCUUUAUGAGAAAGAGUUGGAUAACAUUUUCAGACUUGGCAGAAAUAGAGAAUGUCCUUUUAUAUAAAAAGGCCCACAGAAGCAUUAAUAAAAAAGGAUGAACAGCUGCGAGAAUGAUUCCAACCAAAUAAUCUGUUUUUCUUUGGAAUAAAAAAUCGUGUUUUGCUUUUCAAAGAGCUAAAUCCAUGAGUAGGACUCAGUAACAGUUUAACCAAUUCUCUGUACCUGUGGUGCAGUCCAAGGCAUGCCAGGCAAUUAUUUCAUGCUUGGCAUAAUUGCAGGUCCUUGAAAUCUGAGGUCUGUCAAACCUCUGCCAGGGUUGUCUUUUAUCUCCUUGGAUGGUUAGCAUGGCCAGUUGGCACUUCCACCUUUUGGGCUAUUUUGAUUUUGUAGUUUCCGGCAAGAGUACCAUUAGUACUUUUUUCCCUUCAUCUUCUUAAUGACUUAAUAGAAUCCCAGGAGUUUUUAAUGGGUGCUAGGAACUUAGGAAAGAAGACAGUGAUC